Oncorhynchus keta (chum salmon) is the source of this 3427-nucleotide long non-coding RNA. RefSeq lists it as uncharacterized. The record is from RefSeq and is a predicted model, not a curated record. The transcript is spliced from 3 exons. Lineage: Eukaryota; Metazoa; Chordata; Actinopteri; Salmoniformes; Salmonidae.
AUCAGUAAGCUUUUUAGGUCUGACACAAAAAGAAACCUCACUGUUACUAUGGAAACCACUAUAGAAUAGAGCCGCUAUCAGCCAAUUAGGGAGUGAAAGAACACCUUUAUUAUUAUUUAAAAAAAACCUUGAAUAAUACUCCUCAUGAAGAGCAAAUUAACCAACGGCCAAAGUGCAAACCAGUAUUUGUUCGGAAGUUGCUUUGAAAGUUUUGCGUAGAGAAUUUGGGAAGGAUUUGGCUCUUAAGCAAACAGGAGACUGACUUCCUCAGAGCAGGGUUCCGUGGCUUUGAUUUGACAUCCAUAAAUGGACCUGUUCAAUUAAUGUAGUGCUCUACUAUAGACCAGAGCCCUAUUCCCUAUAUAGUGCACUACUUUAGACCAGAGCCCUAUUCCCUAUAUAGUGCACUACUGUAGACCAGAGCCCUAUUCCCUAUAUAGUGCACUACUGUAGACCAGAGCCCCUAUUCCCUAUAUAGUGCACUACUGUAGACCAGAGCCCUAUUCCCUAUAUAGUGCACUACUUUAGACCAGAGCCCCUAUUCCCCUAUAUAGUGCACUACUAUAGAUCAGAACCCUAUUCCCUAUAUAGUGCACUACUAUAGACCAGAGCCCUAUUCCCUAUAUAGUGCACUACUGUAGACCAGAGCCCUAUUCCCUAUAUAGUGCACUACUUUAGACCAGAGCCCCUAUUCCCCUAUAUAGUGCACUACUUUAGACCAGAGCCCCUAUUCCCCUAUAUAGUGCACUACUUUAGACCAGAGCCCCUAUUCCCCUAUAUAGUGCACUACUUUAGACCAGAGCCCCUAUUCCCCUAUAUAGUGCACUACUUUAGACCAGAGCCCCUAUUCCCCUAUAUAGUGCAGUUUGGCAGAACACUUCUUGAAGAAUUCGAUUGGGUAGUCAUCUGGGCCAGGGUUUUCCCACUGUGCAUUGCUGUGAUUGAAUUGAAAAUCGUCUAUAACUGCAAAGAUUGACCACUUUCCUCUGUCCUCUCUGUACUAAUGAUAGCAGUUUGCGAAUUGUACAACAAAAAAGUAUUCAUGAUUGAAUUGUCUUCAGGUGAUUCUGGUGUGUAAAAUGUUUUGCAAGUAUUAUUCAUUUAAAUGGGAUGAAAUGCUAAAACACACGAGGCAGUGUACAUUUUGAGGAAAUGAUUUAGCUUCUAAAAACAAUUUUGUGUGUUUCCCACAGUGUAGAUGGAGAGAUCGAAUCUGUUUAAUUUAUCUCAAUAAAGAUGUCUAUUGGAUAAAACGGUGCAUAAGGAAUUGUUCGAAAGUAACAAGUCUCCACGGAGCACGAUUCAACGAGAGGUGGAGUGACGGAGGAGAAUGAUCACUAACAACAAGGGAAGUAUUCUAGUUACUCAAUAGAAUGAGAGGUGGGAGUGACAGAGGAGAAUGAUCACUAACAACAAGGGAAGUAUUCUAGUUACUCAAUAGAAUGAGAGGUGGGAGUGACAGAGGAGAAUGAUCACUAACAACAAGGGAAGUAUUCUAGUUACUCAAUAGAAUGAGAGGUGGGAGUGACAGAGGAGAAUGAUCACUAACAACAAGGGAAGUAUUCUAGUUACUCAAUAGAAUGAGAGGUGGGAGUGACAGAGGAGAAUGAUCACUAACAACAAUGGAAGUAUUCUAGUUACUAGUUACUCAAUAGAAUGAGAGGUGGGAGUGACGGAGGAGAAUGAUCACUAACAACAAGGGAAGUAUUCUAGUUACUAGUUACUCAAUAGAAUGAGAGGUGGGAGUGACGGAGGAGAAUGAUCACUAACAACAAGGGAAGUAUUCUAGUUACUCAAUAGAAUGAGAGGUGGAGUGACAGAGGAGAAUGAUCACUAACAACAAGGGAAGUAUUCUAGUUACUCAAUAGAAUGAGAGGUGGAGUGACAGAGGAGAAUGAUCACUAACAACAAGGGAAGUAUUCUAGUUACUCAAUAGAAUGAGAGGUGGGAGUGACGGAGGAGAAUGAUCACUAACAACAAGGGAAGUAUUCUAGUUACUAGUUACUCAAUAGAAUGAGAGGUGGGAGUGACGGAGGAGAAUGAUCACUAACAACAAGGGAAGUAUUCUAGUUACUAGUUACUCAAUAGAAUGAGAGGUGGGAGUGACGGAGGAGAAUGAUCACUAACAACAAGGGAAGUAUUCUAGUUACUCAAUAGAAUGAGAGGUGGGAGUGACAGAGGAGAAUGAUCACUAACAACAAGGGAAGUAUUCUAGUUACUCAAUAGAAUGAGAGGUGGGAGUGACGGAGGAGAAUGAUCACUAACAACAAGGGAAGUAUUCUAGUUACUCAAUAGAAUGAGAGGUGGGAGUGACGGAGGAGAAUGAUCACUAACAACAAGGGAAGUAUUCUAGUUACUCAAUAGAAUGAGAGGUGGGAGUGACGGAGGAGAAUGAUCACUAACAACAAGGGAAGUAUUCUAGUUACUAGUUACUCAAUAGAAUGAGAGGUGGGAGUGACAGAGGAGAAUGAUCACUAACAACAAGGGAAGUAUUCUAGUUACUCAAUAGAAUGAGAGGUGGGAGUGACGGAGGAGAAUGAUCACUAACAACAAGGGAAGUAUUCUAGUUACUCAAUAGAAUGAGAGGUGGGAGUGACAGAGGAGAAUGAUCACUAACAACAAGGGAAGUAUUCUAGUUACUCAAUAGAAUGAGAGGUGGGAGUGACAGAGGAGAAUGAUCACUAACAACAAGGGAAGUAUUCUAGUUACUCAAUAGAAUGAGAGGUGGGAGUGACAGAGGAGAAUGAUCACUAACAACAAGGGAAGUAUUCUAGUUACUCAAUAGAAUGAGAGGUGGGAGUGACAGAGGAGAAUGAUCACUAACAACAAUAGAAUAUUCUAGUUACUCAAUAGCGGGAAGAAGGGCUUUAUCUACGAAGAAGUAGUCUAUUCUAGAAUAGGAGUGGUGCACAUGUGAACAUAAAGAAAAGCAUUUGUUACCGGGGAUAAAGGAACUUCCAUGGCGCUACACAUCCUGCCGGGCUCAUAAUGCAGAUUCAACUCUGGAGAUUUCUGAGGGAGAUAAAUGAUCUGGGGUUGGAACGACCCACACCAAGUCAAGUCGCCUCCAAAAAAUUAAAUGACGUGAGUUGAGAUAGGGCUGUAAAGAAAUACGUUUGUUAAUAAACUCAACAUCAUCCCAAUUGGGAGCGUAAACACGUAGUAGCAAAACAGAGUUGCUCUAUAGAGAACCAGAUACCCAAACCAAACGGCCUUGUGGGUCAGAGAUGGUCAGCAGUUGGAAUAGAGAGGAAAACCCUGCAUAAGUCCACCAAUCACAUCCUGUGACAAAUUAAAAAGCACUGAAAAGUUAACCGAAAUACUUUUGAAGAAAAGUAUUUAAUAUUGAAAUUAAUAAUGAAGGCAAAAAACGUCCCCGUCCCACCCCCACCCGUCUCAUCUCCUUCCACCCCCACCCGUCUCAUCU